AGUGAACGCUGGCGGUAGGCCUAACACAUGCAAGUCGAGCGGCAGCACAGGAGAGCUUGCUCUCUGGGUGGCGAGUGGCGGACGGGUGAGGAAUACAUCGGAAUCUACUCUGUCGUGGGGGAUAACAUAGGGAAACUUACGCUAAUACCGCAUACGACCUACGGGUGAAAGCAGGGGACCUUCGGGCCUUGCGCGAUUGAAUGAGCCGAUGUCGGAUUAGCUAGUUGGCGGGGUAAAGGCCCACCAAGGCGACGAGCCGUAGCUGGUCUGAGAGGAUGAUCAGCCACACUGGAACUGAGACACGGUCCAGACUCCUACGGGAGGCAGCAGUGGGGAAUAUUGGACAAUGGGCGCAAGCCUGAUCCAGCCAUACCGCGUGGGUGAAGAAGGCCUUCGGGUUGUAAAGCCCUUUUGUUGGGAAAGAAAUCCAGCUGGCUAAUACCCGGUUGGGAUGACGGUACCCAAAGAAUAAGCACCGGCUAACUUCGUGCCAGCAGCCGCGGUAA
RNAcentral lists this ribosomal RNA (506 nucleotides) under uncultured bacterium. Its description in RNAcentral is "partial 16S ribosomal RNA". It matches the Rfam family "Bacterial small subunit ribosomal RNA", at positions 29 to 523 of the family's 1533-position model. The record is from RNAcentral.